UUGCCCUGAUCCCACCACUCAGACCUGCCACAUCCAAGGGUCUUUGUAUUCUUCAGAAUGGGUCCCCCCUCCCGCCACCCUAGGGAGAUAGGGCAGGGCCAUUGGCACAGAGCAGUGGCCGCUCACAGGCUCUUCUUCAUCUGUUUCUCCUUCCAGAGAUCCGCUCCAGAUUCAUUGGCAUUUAGUCAAGGGAAAUGCGCCACGGAAGACGAAAGCAAAGACCAGCAAAGGGGCAAGUGCCUGUGGGAACACGGAUUGGGAGAAAAGAACAGAGGACAAGUUUCUCCACCCCCAUUGAGAUAAUUUCUUCCACUGGAAAGAUCAACCUGUUUCACUUUAACCCAGAAAUCUUACACAGCAAGGAGUGAUACAUGAUAUUCUGGCUGCCUUCCCAAAGCAGUGUCUGUUGCCCCAUCUAAGGUGUGACAAAUUAGCAGCUGCUUCGUGUACGGACACUAGCAACCAAGUACAUACCUGUGUGAUUUUCUCUGAGCACAGGUAGCCCAAAAUCUUUGUGAGUGCACAUACGGAGGUGGGAGGAGAGAAGAGAGAGGCUGCUGGUAAUGAGCACUAAUAGCAAUCAACCUGCAUGAGACAAAAUUCUGAGGAAGAAUCUUACUCUGCAGCUUAAGGGGAAAAAUGUAGUACAUCUGCCAUCAACCCUUUCAUAAACAAAGCAACCCACACCAACUCAGGAAUGGACUUGCAAGAACUCACCAGAUGAAGAUUCUGAAAUUAAUCUCUGACCGUCUUUUUGGAUCCUGAGACAACAGUCUACCUCUGCCCUGUCAUGGAUGGCUUCAGCACGUCCUGAGAGCAAUGCAUCUUAAAAUUAACUUUCUGGGCAUAUUUUUCCUCCAAGCAUGGGAAAGGUUUGCAGUUCCAGGCUAAGAAGUUCCAG
RNAcentral lists this long non-coding RNA (901 nucleotides) under Pogona vitticeps (central bearded dragon). RNAcentral describes it as "lncRNA (ENSPVIG00000021139.1)". Lineage: Eukaryota; Metazoa; Chordata; Lepidosauria; Squamata; Agamidae. The record is from RNAcentral.